UACGUAGGGUGCAAGCGUUAAUCGGAAUUACUGGGCGUAAAGCGUGCGCAGGCGGUUGUGCAAGACCGAUGUGAAAUCCCCGGGCUCAACCUGGGAAUGGCAUUGGUGACUGCACGGCUAGAGUGUGUCAGAGGGGGGUAGAAUUCCACGUGUAGCAGUGAAAUGCGUAGAGAUGUGGAGGAACACCGAUGGCGAAGGCAGCCCCCUGGGUCAAGAUUGACGCUCAUGCACGAAAGCGUGGGGAGCAAACAGG
This 253-nucleotide ribosomal RNA is filed under the name uncultured bacterium. RNAcentral describes it as "partial 16S ribosomal RNA". It matches the Rfam family "Bacterial small subunit ribosomal RNA", at positions 524 to 776 of the family's 1533-position model. The record is from RNAcentral.